This 262-nucleotide small nuclear RNA is filed under the name Dictyostelium discoideum AX4. RNAcentral describes it as "small nuclear RNA,snRNA". The stretch from base 38 to 252 matches the Rfam family "U2 spliceosomal RNA". From Rfam's summary of the family: U2 is a small nuclear RNA (snRNA) component of the spliceosome (involved in pre-mRNA splicing). Complementary binding between U2 snRNA (in an area lying towards the 5' end but 3' to hairpin I) and the branchpoint sequence (BPS) of the intron results the bulging out of an unpaired adenosine, on the BPS, which initiates a nucleophilic attack at the intronic 5' splice site, thus starting the first of two transesterification reactions that mediate splicing. The record is from RNAcentral. Lineage: Eukaryota; Evosea; Eumycetozoa; Dictyosteliales; Dictyosteliaceae.
ACUUUUUUUGCCUUAAAAAAGCAAUAAAGUCACAAAAAUCUUCUUGAAGCGUAAUAGCUUUAAUCAAGUGUAGUAUCUGUUCUAGAACGCUUAAAAUCGUUCUGCUAUCUAAGUGAUAGCUUUCGAACUUAAUCUUAUUUUUUAUUCGAGGUUUUUAGAUGUUAUUAUAAUAAUAUCGGCAUGCCUUUAUUCAUUACAUCUAAAGUUGUAUUCGCUCUGUAUCGCACCAUUUCAGAGUCAAUAAAAAAGAGUACUACCUCUC